UGGGGUGUGGCUCAGUGGUAGAGCACUUGCCCAGCAUGCAGAGGCCCUGGGUUCCAUUCCUAGCACUGCAG
Molecule: transfer RNA, 71 nt
Filed under: Marmota marmota marmota (Alpine marmot)
Lineage: Eukaryota; Metazoa; Chordata; Mammalia; Rodentia; Sciuridae
Also listed under: 3 other names
Rfam family: tRNA
About the family: Transfer RNA (tRNA) molecules are approximately 80 nucleotides in length. Their secondary structure includes four short double-helical elements and three loops (D, anti-codon, and T loops). Further hydrogen bonds mediate the characteristic L-shaped molecular structure. tRNAs have two regions of fundamental functional importance: the anti-codon, which is responsible for specific mRNA codon recognition, and the 3' end, to which the tRNAs corresponding amino acid is attached (by aminoacyl-tRNA synthetases). tRNAs cope with the degeneracy of the genetic code in two manners: having more than one tRNA (with a specific anti-codon) for a particular amino acid; and 'wobble' base-pairing, i.e. permitting non-standard base-pairing at the 3rd anti-codon position.
Source: Rfam by way of RNAcentral